GUGUGUGUAUAUACGAUCGAUCAGGGGCAGAGGGUGAGGUGAAACCCUAGUUUCACCAAAAUCCAUCAAAUUGAAGGGGGAUUGAAGGGCUAAACUAAUGCAUGAACCAAGAUUUUCGAUCACUUUAGCGUUUCUACCAUCAUGAAUGUGUCAAGGAGAGGUCAAGCAUAGGAGGAUAACGGGUCAAGAUAAGGCAAGGUGACAAAUACACUUAUUGGAGUACUCGAGGUAUGGGAUCGUUGGCUUCAUGAAGAAAUGGAGCUGGAUUUGGAUAAGAGUAUUUAAGAAAGCGCUUGGACAAUUCCACGACUACUUUAUAGAAUGCUCUACGAAAUUCUAUUAUAUAGUUUAAUGUUGUAUGGUAUGUUAAUGACUAAUGGUUUGGUUGUACGUGGUGUCCACAGGUAUCGCUUGGGUUUUCUCUACAUUUAUUGAAGUGAAGCGGACUUAGUUCGA
Long non-coding RNA from Helianthus annuus (common sunflower), 456 nucleotides. RefSeq lists it as uncharacterized. NCBI's taxonomy places the organism in Eukaryota, Viridiplantae, Streptophyta, Magnoliopsida, Asterales, Asteraceae. The transcript is spliced from 2 exons. The record is from RefSeq and is a predicted model, not a curated record.